AACAAAAACAAAAUCACUGCCCUUAUAUGUAUGAUU
RNAcentral lists this non-coding RNA (36 nucleotides) under Trypanosoma brucei brucei. The record is from RNAcentral. Lineage: Eukaryota; Euglenozoa; Kinetoplastea; Trypanosomatida; Trypanosomatidae.